GUUUUGAACGGGUUGUAGCUGGCCUCAUACUGUGGCAUGUGCACGCCUGUCUUCAUCCACUCUUCAACCUCUGUGCACUUAUUGUAGGCUGGUGAAGGGUCGCAUAGUAAUGUGCGGCUUGAAGCCUGGUCUACGUUUUACUACAAACGCUUCAGUUAUAGAAUGUCUAUCUGCGUAUAACGCAUUUAAUAUACAACUUUCAGCAACGGAUCUCUUGGCUCUCGCAUCGAUGAAGAACGAGCGAAAUGCGAUAAGUAAUGUGAAUUGCAGAAUUCAGUGAAUCAUCGAAUCUUUGAACGCACCUUGCGCUCCCUGGUAUUCCGGGGAGCAUGCCUGUUUGAGUGUCAUGGAAUUCUCAACUUCUAAUACUUUUUUGUAUCAGAAGCUUGGAUUUGGAGGCUCGUGCUGGCUCUCUCGUUAGAGUCGGCUCCUCUUAAAUGAAUUAGCGUGAAUCACUAUGGAUCGCUUCGGUGUGAUAAUUAUCUGCGCCGUAGUCGUGAAGUAUUAAUAAAAGUUCUCGCUUCUAAUCGUCCUUCACGGGACAAUUAACCCUGACUUUUUGACCUCAAAUCAGGUAGGACUACCCGCUGAACUUAAGCAUAUCAAUAGCGGAGGA
Molecule: ribosomal RNA, 616 nt
Filed under: Phlebiopsis gigantea
Lineage: Eukaryota; Fungi; Basidiomycota; Agaricomycetes; Polyporales; Phanerochaetaceae
Description: eukaryotic LSU rRNA
Rfam family: 5.8S ribosomal RNA (bases 195-347)
Source: RNAcentral